RNAcentral lists this ribosomal RNA (217 nucleotides) under uncultured bacterium. RNAcentral's name for it is "partial 16S ribosomal RNA". It matches the Rfam family "Bacterial small subunit ribosomal RNA", at positions 328 to 539 of the family's 1533-position model. The record is from RNAcentral.
ACGCUCGACACCUACGGGAGCAGCAGUGAGGAAUAUUGGUCAAUGGGCGCAGGCCUGAACCAGCCAAGUAGCGUGAAGGAUGACUGCCCUAUGGGUUGUAAACUUCUUUUAUAUGGGAAUAAAGUUUUCCACGUGUGGAAUUUUGUAUGUACCAUAUGAAUAAGGAUCGGCUAACUCCGUGCUAGCAGCCGCGGUAAUCUGAGCGGGCUGGCAAGGC